RNAcentral lists this ribosomal RNA (514 nucleotides) under uncultured bacterium. Its description in RNAcentral is "partial 16S ribosomal RNA". It matches the Rfam family "Bacterial small subunit ribosomal RNA", at positions 28 to 523 of the family's 1533-position model. The record is from RNAcentral.
GACGAACGCUGGCGGCGUGCCUAACACAUGCAAGUCGAACGGGGAGUUACUUGUAACUCCUAGUGGCGAACGGGUGAGUAACGCGUAGACAACCUACCUCUAAAAUGGGGACAACACCGCGAAAGUGGUGCUAAUACCGAAUGUGGUAUCUUGGUCGCAUGACUAAGAUAAGAAAGAUGGCCUCUACAUGUAAGCUAUCGUUUAGAGAUGGGUCUGCGUCUGAUUAGCUAGUUGGUGAGGUAAUGGCUCACCAAGGCAACGAUCAGUAGCCGGUCGGAGAGGAUGGACGGCCACACUGGGACUGAGACACGGCACAGACGCCUACGGGAGGCAGCAGUGGGGAAUCUACCGCAAUGGACGAAAGUCUGACGGAGCAACGCCGCGUGAGUGAAGAAGGUCUUCGGAUUGUAAAACUCUGUCGUUUGGGACGAACGUAUCCUGGGUAAAUAAUCCAGGGUAAUGACGGUACCAAAGGAGGAAGCCACGGCUAACUACGUGCCAGCCGCCGCCGUAA